GCUCUCUGGGUGGCGAGUGGCGGACGGGUGAGGAAUACAUCGGAAUCUACUUUUUCGUGGGGGAUAACGUAGGGAAACUUACGCUAAUACCGCAUACGACCUACGGGUGAAAGCAGGGGAUCUUCGGACCUUGCGCGAUUGAAUGAGCCGAUGUCGGAUUAGCUAGUUGGCGGGGUAAAGGCCCACCAAGGCGACGAUCCGUAGCUGGUCUGAGAGGAUGAUCAGCCACACUGGAACUGAGACACGGUCCAGACUCCUACGGGAGGCAGCAGUGGGGAAUAUUGGACAAUGGGCGCAAGCCUGAUCCAGCCAUACCGCGUGGGUGAAGAAGGCCUUCGGGUUGUAAAGCCCUUUUGUUGGGAAAGAAAUCCAGCUGGUUAAUACCCGGUUGGGAUGACGGUACCCAAAGAAUAAGCACCGGCUAACUUCGUGCCAGCAGCCGCGGUAAUACGAAGGGUGCAAGCGUUACUCGGAAUUACUGGGCGUAAAGCGUGCGUAGGU
This 501-nucleotide ribosomal RNA is filed under the name Stenotrophomonas maltophilia. RNAcentral describes it as "bacterial SSU rRNA". It matches the Rfam family "Bacterial small subunit ribosomal RNA", at positions 78 to 576 of the family's 1533-position model. Lineage: Bacteria; Pseudomonadati; Pseudomonadota; Gammaproteobacteria; Lysobacterales; Lysobacteraceae. The record is from RNAcentral.